This is a non-coding RNA of Coturnix japonica (Japanese quail), 2123 nucleotides long. The record is from RefSeq and is a predicted model, not a curated record. NCBI's taxonomy places the organism in Eukaryota, Metazoa, Chordata, Aves, Galliformes, Phasianidae.
GGGUGGGGAAACUGAGGCACGGGAGGGUAUGUUGCCUGUUGUUCCAUGCAAUGGGAUGUAUAUGUGAUUGAUUCGCUGUAGUGCAGUGCUGUUUUAUUCUAUCCUUCUGGCUGGCAGGCUGCUUCACGCUGAAGCUGAAUGCUGGAGUGUAGUAAGGGGCUGAAGUAACACUUGUGCUGGAAAUGCAAUGGGGAAAUGAACAGCGGGAUGCUGGCACCUUUACUGGGGACAUCCUUAGUGGGCUGAUGGUUGGUCCUGGUGAUCUGAGAGCUCAUUUCCAACCUUAACGAUACCAUGAUCCAAGGCUGGGCUGAAAAGCCCAACCUCCACCCGCUCCUACAGCCCUGCACAACUGAGGUCACCAUGAACUUCAGCCUCAACAUCAUCCACCCCACAAGGGUUGAUCCUCCAGGACCACUCAAGGCCAGCAGCUGAUGUAAUGCAGUUACAACGCACAGGAACCAGUCACUGCUUGUUGCCUGCAAGGACUUCAUGUUCUUGAGCCAUAGAAUCAUGUAGUUUGGAGAAGACCUUUGAGAUCACCAAGUCCAACCUCAAUGCAGCCCACUGUGCCCACUGCCCACAUCCCUCAAUGCCACAUCUCAACACUGAACACUUCCAUGGCUGGUGACCCCACUGCUCCCUAUGACACAUCAUGCUCUUCUGGAGAAUAAAUUCUCCUAAUACCCAACAUGAUGCCUUCCAUAGAAUCAUUCACGUUGGAAAAAGACCACUAAGAUCAUCGAGUCCAAUCAUCAACCCAACACCACCACGCCAAGAAACCACAUUGAAACAUCUUUAUCACAUCCCUACCCAGGAUACAAACAUUGAUCUUCCCCUUCUUAAAAAACAACCCAGAAAUGAUAAAAUCCACAUAAAGAGACAAAAAGCAGCUUUUACCCCCAGCCCUCCCCACUGACAUUCCCUUGCAGAACAUUACAGCACUGGUGACCACAAGAAGACAAACACUGUGGUGUCACUUCCCAACGACAGCUCUAUUUCUGCUGUUUCCUGAACUCAUCACCCUUCUUAUUUUCCUCCUUUCUCCCUUUUUUUUCCUACCCCUCCUUCUUUUUAUCACGAAAAUGAUGGUUGUUAUCACAGAAUGUUGUGCCUAACAACUUCUGGCUUCCUUCGGAUGUUUUCAUUCAGCUGCUAAAAUGCUGUAAUGACACUGAGAUAAUGGCCCGCAGAAAUAAAUGAUACAGAUCAAAAUAGAAGGGAUUUGGUUAAAGCAGAAAAGGGAACAAAUAGGAAUUAUCCAUCCUAAUUAGCAUUCACAGACUGCAACUGGGGAAGGAAGGCAAGAAAAGAAAGAAAUCAUAGAGCUGUUAAGGUUGGAAUAGACCUUUAUGAUCAUCAAGUCCGACUGUCAACUCGUUAGCACCGUGCCAAUUAACGACGUCAAAGAACCACAGAAUCAUUAAGGUUGGAAAAGACCUCUAAGAUCAACAAGUCCAGCUGUCAACUCAUCACCAACUGUUCCAACUAAACCACGUCAGAGAAUCAUAGAACCACAGAAUCGUUCAGCUUGGAAAAGACCUCCAAGAUCAAGUCCAACUGUCAACUCAUUACCAAGAUGCCAAUUAACCAUGUCAUAGAAUCACAGAACCACUGAAUCAUUCAGGUUGGAAGAGACCUCUAAGAUCAUCAAGUCCAACCAACAACCAGCACAUCCUUGGGAAUGUUUUUUGGUAGGUCAUGUUGUAGAUCUACCAGAGCCCAAAUCAGCAGCGUAGCCCUGGGGACACAAAGUGGCCACUGCAACAGCACGUCUUGCACCCCCGUGCUGGCAAAUAGUCCAUUGCAACACACUGCACCUGCUGCAGAGACCGAGAUGCUCUAAAACAGCUGGGAGCCCCCAGAAUUAAUAUUUCCCUUUUAAAGAUAACUGCUGGGGGAAAAGCAUGGCCAAUAUAGAUUCAACAUUACCCGGGGUUUUCCAUUAUUCAUCGAAUCUCGCCCCACGCCGUGCUGCAGUGCAUACAUUACCAUAUAUGAUGACAAAGAAAUUGCACAACUCCUGCAAAGAGGCGAUAAAGUGGCCGCCUCGGCUGCUAAACCACCACGCUCAACAGGCCAUCUCUAAUAAGCAGCGUGUAAUUAAAGUCUCUACACACUCA